UCUCUUUCUCUCUCGUCUCUCUGUCGGCCUGUCUCUGCAGCUCUGAAUAUUGGACCUCACAGACGAGGAAGCUGUGCCACAGAGAGGUUAAGAGAGCUGCUCAGCGGCGCAUCUAGGAAGCGAUGGAGCCAGGACCCGACCCCACGUGGCAGAGCACAAGCGCUUCACCGGCUGGAACACACGGCACAGGGCGUCCCAGAGAAUCCCACUUCUCCGAGACGAGAGAGCAGCACGCAUGCAAGAUGAUGGGAAAGGUCUGGCCGUAGAGAAGGAAAAGACAAAUGAUGCCAGAGACCUACUGGUGGCAUGUCCUGGAGUGAAGGAGAAGGGAUACUGAAAGGAUACAGCAUGACUUAUCGAACCAUACUCCUCUAUUACUGGAUAUUGAGAUUGUUUCUAAUACCUUAUCAUUAUAAGUAACCCUUCCACCUAAGAUGUCCCCUUGGCAACAUCAAAAUCCAACAUCUCUGCAGUUCUGUACACUUUGGGGGUAGGAGCUGUG
Molecule: non-coding RNA, 502 nt
Organism: Delphinapterus leucas (beluga whale)
Lineage: Eukaryota; Metazoa; Chordata; Mammalia; Artiodactyla; Monodontidae
Source: RefSeq, a predicted model, not a curated record